UACAGAGGUGGCAAGCGUUGUUCGGAAUUACUGGGCGUAAAGGGCGCGUAGGCGGCCUUCUAAGUCAGACGUGAAAUCCCCCGGCUUAACCUGGGAACUGCGUCUGAUACUGGGAGGCUAGAGUUCGGGAGAGGGAUGUAGAAUUCCAGGUGUAGCGGUGAAAUGCGUAGAUAUCUGGAGGAAUACCGGUGGCGAAGGCGGCAUCCUGGACCGAAACUGACGCUGAGGCGCGAAAGCUAGGGGAGCAAACAGG
Molecule: ribosomal RNA, 253 nt
Filed under: uncultured bacterium
Lineage: Bacteria
Description: partial 16S ribosomal RNA
Rfam family: Bacterial small subunit ribosomal RNA
Source: RNAcentral